This 240-nucleotide ribosomal RNA is filed under the name uncultured bacterium. RNAcentral's name for it is "partial 16S ribosomal RNA". It matches the Rfam family "Bacterial small subunit ribosomal RNA", at positions 92 to 334 of the family's 1533-position model. The record is from RNAcentral.
CGACCGGCGCACGGUGAGUAACGCGUAUGUAAUCUACCUGUAACAGAGGGAUAACCCGGAGAAAUCCGGACUAAUACCUCAUAGCACAUAUUAUUCGCAUGAAUUUUAUGUUAAAGAGACUCGGUUACAGAUGAACAUGCGUUCCAUUAGCUAGUUGGCGGGGUUACGGCCCACCAAGGCAACGAUGGAUAGGGGUUCUGAGAGGAAGGUCCCCCACACUGGUACUGAGACACGGACCAG